AGAGGAUGAGAGCUUCUCUGUUCAGAGUGAAGAGGGUGAUUUGGCUUCGCCUUAAGAAUGCUCGUAGAAUCCGCAAGCUGGUGUGGUCCAGACUCCGUUUCAUUUGCCGCAGGAGAAGAAGAUUUGUUCGCCUCAUGAACCAACACAACUACUACAACAAUUAUUACAGCACCAGCAACAACAACAACUCUUCCUGCUUCUGGUAGAAUCUUUACUGUUUCUUCUUUUUGUUUGUUUUAUUCCUCUACUUUGUAGCUAGCUAGCCUUGGAUUUGUUAAAGAAUCUUGUUU
This 290-nucleotide long non-coding RNA is filed under the name Citrus sinensis (sweet orange). RNAcentral describes it as "long non-coding RNA (CSIN_LNC002454)". The record is from RNAcentral. Lineage: Eukaryota; Viridiplantae; Streptophyta; Magnoliopsida; Sapindales; Rutaceae.